Molecule: ribosomal RNA, 274 nt
Filed under: uncultured bacterium
Lineage: Bacteria
Description: partial 16S ribosomal RNA
Rfam family: Bacterial small subunit ribosomal RNA
Source: RNAcentral
AUACGGAGGGUACAAGCGUUAUCCGGAUUCAUUGGGUUUAAAGGGUUCGCAGGCGGCGUAUUAAGUCAGUGGUGAAAUCCCGAGGCUCAACCUCGGAACUGCCAUUGAUACUGGUAUGCUAGAGUAUAGUUGGCGUUGGCGGAAUGUAUCAUGUAGCGGUGAAAUGCUUAGAUAUGAUACAGAACACCGAUCGCGAAGGCAGCUAACGAAACUAUAACUGACGCUCAGGAACGAAAGCGUGGGGAGCGAACAGGAUUAGAAACCCCGGUAGUCC